RNAcentral lists this ribosomal RNA (252 nucleotides) under uncultured bacterium. RNAcentral describes it as "partial 16S ribosomal RNA". It matches the Rfam family "Bacterial small subunit ribosomal RNA", at positions 524 to 776 of the family's 1533-position model. The record is from RNAcentral.
UACGGGGGAGCAAGCGUUGUUCGGAUUACUGGGCGUAAAGGGCGCGUAGGCGGUCGUGACAAGUCACUUGUGAAAUCUCCGGGCUUAACUCGGAACGGUCAAGUGAUACUGUCGGACUAGAGUACAGAAGGGGCAACUGGAAUUCUCGGUGUAGCGGUGAAAUGCGUAGAUAUCGAGAGGAACACCUGCGGCGAAGGCGGGUUGCUGGGCUGAUACUGACGCUGAGGCGCGAAAGCCAGGGGAGCGAACGGG